Molecule: ribosomal RNA, 119 nt
Filed under: Lepisosteus oculatus (spotted gar)
Lineage: Eukaryota; Metazoa; Chordata; Actinopteri; Semionotiformes; Lepisosteidae
Source: RNAcentral
GCCAGCAGCCAUAUCACCCUGCAACUCACAACUGGCAACCCACUAAAGUUAAGCGGGUGUGAGCCUGGUCAGUACCUUGAUGGGAGACCUGCUGGGAAAAACUAAGGUUGCUGCUGGAA